GCGGGACAUUACGCUUACUCUCAGCGGAAUUCACCCGAGAAGGCAUAUAAGUUCCUGCACUGGCCUUCACCACGAUUAGUAUAAGGUGGAGUAAUGCACGAAUGGAUAAAAAGGAGUGAGAGGUUAUCAGCUGUUGAGGAGCAAAUGGAGAUCCGUGUCCAGGGGAGUGAGGCUAUUGCGAGUGUGAAAUUUUGUCCAGGAAGUAACUAAGAAGACAUGAACAGAGAGGUGGUGAUCCUCGGUGGAGUGAUGAAGUAGAGCAGCCAGCACCCCAAGUAGAGCAGGCACUGUGGAAAAAUAGUUGUGACUCAACCAGACCAUUACAAAGUAUGGCCUGGAGGAUUUUCAUCUCAAGGUGCAAGAACAUUCUUAAUGACUGUACACGGCGGCUGCUGAUGGACAAUGUUGGGCCAGAUGUGCUACAGUUAGCGUUAAGGAGGUAUGAUCAAAGCAAGAUCGAAAACAUUUAACAU
Oreochromis aureus is the source of this 473-nucleotide long non-coding RNA. RefSeq lists it as uncharacterized. The record is from RefSeq and is a predicted model, not a curated record. The transcript has 3 exons. Lineage: Eukaryota; Metazoa; Chordata; Actinopteri; Cichliformes; Cichlidae.